GCCCGGCGUGGUGGUGCACGCCUGUAAUCCCAGCUACUCGGGAGGCUGAGGCAGGAGAAUCGCUUGAACCCAGGAGGCAGAGGUUGCAGUGAGCUGAGAUCGUGGCACUGCACUCCAGCCUGGGUGACAGAGCGAGACCCCGUCUCAA
RNAcentral lists this non-coding RNA (148 nucleotides) under Pan troglodytes (chimpanzee). Lineage: Eukaryota; Metazoa; Chordata; Mammalia; Primates; Hominidae. The record is from Rfam by way of RNAcentral.